UUUUUCAUUCUUUUUUUACUGUAAGAGUCAUUUUCUUUUCUAUUAUGGUCAUUGGGAUUAAAUUAAAUAUCUUUAAAUAUGGUGCAGUUGUAAUAAAAUUACAUUUUAAGAAAAAAUAUACAUGUAUAGACGUAAAAGAACACAAAUUAAUUCACACCAGUUUGAAGAUGAUAUGCAUGUCUUAGAUAAUUUAGAAACCUUUCAGUCCCAACUGCUUCUGAUUAAUAACCAUGCAUAUAUAUAGUCCAUGUAGUGAAAUGUCAAUUAUCUAGGAACUUUAUA
Molecule: long non-coding RNA, 282 nt
Filed under: Mytilus galloprovincialis (Mediterranean mussel)
Lineage: Eukaryota; Metazoa; Mollusca; Bivalvia; Mytilida; Mytilidae
Source: RNAcentral